AAUAGGCUUGGUCCUGGCCUUUCUAUUAGCUCUUAGCAGGAUUACACAUGCAAGCAUCCCCGCUCCAGUGAAGACGCCCUAUAAAUCAUCAUGACCAAGAGGAGCAAGCAUCAAGCACGCACACGCAGCUCAAAACGCUUUGCCUAGCCACACCCCCACGGGAGACAGCAGUGACAAGUAUUUAGCAAUAAACGAAAGUUCAACUAAGCCAUGCUAUAUUUAGGGUUGGUCAAUUUCGUGCCAGCCACCGCGGUUACACGAUUAACCCCAGCUAAUAGGGAUCGGCGUAGAGGGUGUUUAAGAUCUAACAUAAUAAAGCUAAACUCCACCUAAACUGUAAAACCCUAGCUAAUGUAAAAUAAACUACGAAAGUGGCUUUAAAGCUUCUGAACACACAAUAGCCAAGACCCAAACUGGGAUUAGACACCCCACUAUGCUUGGCCCUAAACCUCAGUAGUUAGAUAACAAAACUACUCGCCAGAAUACUACAAGCAACAGCUUAAAACUCAAAGGACUUGACGGUGCUUUACAUCCCCCUAGAGGAGCCUGUUCCGUAAUCGAUAAACCCCGAUCCACCCUACCCUCUCUUGCUCAGCCUAUAUACCGCCAUCUUCAGCAAACCCUAAUGAGGGCCACAAAGUGAGCGCAAACGCCGUCGCCGCGAAUACGUUAGGUCAAGGUGUAGCCCAUGAGACGGUAAAAAAUGGGCUACAUUUUCUAUUUCAGAAAACCCACGAAAACCCUUAUGAAACUUAGGGGUCCAAGGAGGAUUUAGCAGUAAAUUAAGAAUAGAGUGCUUAAUUGAACCAGGCCAUAAAGCGCGCACACACCGCCCGUCACUCCUCUCAAAUAUAUUUAAGGAAUAUCCUAACUAAACGCCCUAAUAUUUAUAUAGAGAGGAUAAGUCGUAACAUGGUAAGCGUACUGGAAGGUGCGCUUGGAUAA
This 945-nucleotide non-coding RNA is filed under the name Macaca fascicularis (crab-eating macaque). RNAcentral describes it as "12S ribosomal RNA". It matches the Rfam family "Bacterial small subunit ribosomal RNA". The record is from RNAcentral. Lineage: Eukaryota; Metazoa; Chordata; Mammalia; Primates; Cercopithecidae.